CAUGCCGUAAACGAUGAUUACUAGGUGUGGGGGGUCUGACCCCUUCCGUGCCGGAGUUAACACAAUAAGUAAUCCACCUGGGGAGUACGGCCGCAAGGUUGAAACUCAAAGGAAUUGACGGGGGCCCGCACAAGCAGUGGAGUAUGUGGUUUAAUUCGAAGCAACGCGAAGAACCUUACCAGGUCUUGACAUCCAACUAACGAAGCAGAGAUGCAUUAGGUGCCCUUCGGGGAAAGUUGAGACAGGUGG
Molecule: ribosomal RNA, 249 nt
Filed under: uncultured bacterium
Lineage: Bacteria
Description: partial 16S ribosomal RNA
Rfam family: Bacterial small subunit ribosomal RNA
Source: RNAcentral